Mytilus trossulus (common blue mussel) is the source of this 2554-nucleotide long non-coding RNA. RefSeq lists it as uncharacterized. Lineage: Eukaryota; Metazoa; Mollusca; Bivalvia; Mytilida; Mytilidae. The transcript is spliced from 2 exons. The record is from RefSeq and is a predicted model, not a curated record.
UAGAUUCAAGAAACAACAAAAAUUACAAAUGUAAAAUUGUGGAAAUUGAUGGACGUGUCCUGAAACCAUCUGUGAAGGCAAUUCCUUCCAUUUCAUCAUUUAGUAAUUUUAAUUAUUCUCAACAUGGUUUGACAGUUUUGAAAGCAUAUGGGAUUGGAAAUGGUAAGCUGAUCAAAUGGGAUCAAAUCUAUGACUGUACCAAGAAAAUGUCAGUGUGUCUUAAAGUUGUUGAUUUCUCCGAAAACAUAACUUUUACUGAUAUCAAGGUAAAAUAUUCUGAAGCCAGACAGGGCUUAAGGGAAAGUAACAAUGAGGAAGAGCAUUGUAGUGAGGAGGAAGAUGGUAAUCAAGAUAUGGAUGCAGUUGGUGAUGAAGAAAACAGUUUGAAUGAGGGAGGAAUGCUGUGUUGCCCUGUUGAUGGGUGUGUCAAAAGUUUUAUGAAACAUAAGAAUUUGGAAGACCAUCUUUUGAUUGGGAACUGCAAAUUCAAAUUCAAAAAUGAACCUACUCUUGACAUGACAAAAAAAAAUGUACUUGACAAAAGUCACCAGUAAAGUUGAGAAAACAUAUUCUUUGUCAUCUGAUACAGUUGUUGCUAAAGAAAAUAUUACAGAAGGUUGGGCUUUAAAGACAAGAAAACCGCCAACUUUAUUUAGUAAAGAGCAAAAGCUGUAUUUGGAUGAAAAGUUUAAGAUAGGAGAAACAACGGGAAAGAAAGAGGAUCCUAUAACUGUAUCACAAGAAAUGAGAACUACUAAAGUGAAGGGCAAAAGAAGAUUCAAAAUGAGUGAAUUUCUUACAUCACAGCAAAUAGGGAGUUAUUUUUCAAGAGUUUCCAGGAAGAAAGUUGAGGAUAACAUGCCUGCCACCAUAGAAGAACAUUUGUCUAGUGUUAGAGAAGAGAUUUUGACAAAACUUAAUGAUUAGUUAGUUAAGUUGGAAUCUGUUGUACCAUAUGGAUCACUGUUGAUAUAUAGAUUAACUAUUGUCUCAAAAUGUAAACUUUAUUUGAAUUCAGUUUUAAAACAUGUUGAAUGCAUGGCUUUUCCUAAUAUUGGUCACUUUUUCUAUCCUAUCCUGUAUUGAACAAAAGUUUGAAUUGAGACUAGUCCAAAAAAAAAUGUUUGUUUCCCAACCCAACCAAAAUCAGAAAUAAGCCCCCGGGUAAAAAACAUAUUUUCCACAAAAAAAUAUAAAUUAUUUUCAUAACAAAAGUAAUUCAUUUCCAUUUUUUAAAAGGGCUUGAAAGCAAAAGGAUUGAUAAUCUAAAUAAAUAUACUCAAAUUGAGCACAAACAACUGAUAUGUGGCCCAGACUGGACAAGUCAAACUUUCAUGUGACCAUGCUAUGACAUCCAGUUAAAAAAAAUAACUUGCCUUGCUGGACUGUUUACAAAGAGUUGACCUGGGGGAGGGGAAACAAACAUUCUUUUAAAUGUGACCCUAGUAUAAAAAAAUGAUAUGUGUAAUUUUUUUUAAUAAUGUAAUAUAAGACCUACAACAUACAAUAUUUUGUGUAGAUAAAAUCAACUUUGAUAUUGAAGUGCACAAAAUUAGGCUACCAUGUAUUCUUUAUAGAUAAAGCAUUUAUAAAUGUUAGGUGUUUUUGUAGUAUGGAUUACAGUUUAAGAAACCUUCUAAAAGUUUUAAGUUUAGAAGAUUUCUGUUGUUAAGGAGUUACUUUUGUCUCAAUAAAAUAAUUUUCAAAUUUGAAUUCAAAGAUGGGGGAAAUAUACAUAUUUGGUGUAUCAACGCAUGUAUAUUAUCUUGGUUUGGGUUUUCUGACCUUGGCCUCAUUUUCUUGAAUCAUGUACACGCACACAUAGUAUAUGACUGAAUUAAACACUGCAUGUAUGGAAAAGAAGAAUUGAAGAAUAAACUUCAAUGAGUAGUGUAUUUGAAAUUUGAAUAAGUCCAUAGUCAAUAGAAUAUCAUCAAAUUAGGAGGCUAUCUUAGAGUAAAUUUUAAUAGCAAUUCAUCAGGAAAACUAGUCAGGGUAAUAAAGUUAUACCAAUAUUAUACCAUUAGAUCAGAAACAUCAGUACUAUGAAGUUAUAUUUGAGGAAUUGCUGAUAUAUGCGUAAAAAAUUUGUUAUUAGAUAGUAACUUCAUGUUUUUUGUAAAAAAAAAAGGGGGUGGUAUACCGUUUUUUACAACAUAUACCUCAAUAAUGUGAUAAUGCCCCAAAAGUUUUUAUUCAUAGAUGUAUUGAAUAAAGUAAGCUCUUAAUAACCUUCAAGUCAUUUAUGGUCUACAUUUCUGCAAAAAAAAGGUUUGAGGGUCCAAACUUGAUCAAUUUUGGCUAAAUUUGACAUAAUCUUUAAGACCAUAUUUUGCGCCAUGCAUAUUCAAAUAUGAUAUCACAUAUUGCAAAGUAUCUUAAUGUUUUUUUAUUAAGAAUAUAAUGUUUGUCUUCAUUAAAGUUUUGUAUUUCAUCUUGAUUGCAUAAAAACCUGAUUUUAACCAUAUUCAAAAUGUCAGUUUCAGUUUUAUUUUUUGUCAUGGUUGCUAGGGAAAGUCUUGUCCAUAGCAACAAUAAAGAAUUUACGAUAGAA